GACGAACGCUGGCGGCGUGCUUAACACAUGCAAGUCGAACGGAAAGGCCCUGCUUUUGUGGGGUGCUCGAGUGGCGAACGGGGGAGUAACACGUGAGUAACAUGCCCUUGACUUUGGGAUAACUUCAGGAAACUGGGGCUAAUACCGGAUAGGAGAUACUGCUGCACGGUGGGGGUUGGAAAGAUUCGGCGGUUGGGGAUGGACUCGCGGCUUAUCAGCUUGUUGGUGGGGUAGUGGCUUACAAAGGCUUUGAAGGGUAGCCGGCCUGGGAGGGUGACCGGCCACAUGGGGACUGAGAGAGGCACCAGACUCCUACGGGAGGCAGCGGGGGGGAGUAUUGCGCAAUGGGCGGAAGCCUGAGGCAGCAACGCCGCGUGCGGGAUGACGGCCUUCGGGUUGUAAACCGCUUUCGCCUGUGACGAACCGGGAGUGACGGUAAUGGGUAAAGAAGCACCGGCUAACUACGUG
RNAcentral lists this ribosomal RNA (468 nucleotides) under uncultured bacterium. Its description in RNAcentral is "partial 16S ribosomal RNA". It matches the Rfam family "Bacterial small subunit ribosomal RNA", at positions 28 to 507 of the family's 1533-position model. The record is from RNAcentral.